AGUACUGUACCAUAGUCAGUAGCGAGAUAUGGAUGAAGAGGCAUGGCAUACAUAUGGUGAGCUACAACAAUGGUUAAAGAGCAUAACAUAGCUAAAUUAAUAGAUAAUUGAGCAUGACAUGACGUUGUUAGGAUUUCAUAGAGCCCUUUAUGGCCCUGGCCUGUAAAUGGACCUUUAUGAGCCUCUAAAAUAUCUUUCAGGCCAUGACCAAUCCCCCAGUUAGUAUUAUACAUGUGACAGAGGAUGCAAGCGUUAUCCGGAAUGAUUGGGCGUAAAGCGUCUGUAGGUGGAUUUUCAAGUCCGUUGUCAAAUCCCAGGGCUCAACCCUGGACAUGCGGUGGAAACUACCAAGCUGGAGUACGGUAGGGGCAGGGGGAAUUUCCGGUGGAGCGAUGAAAUGCAUAGAGAUCGGAAAGAACACCAACGACGAAAUCACUCUGCUGGGUCGACACUGACACUGAGAGAUGAAAUUUAGGGGAGCGAAUGGGAUUAGAUACCCCAGUAGUCCUAGCCGUAAACAAUGGAUACUAGGCGCUGUGCGUAUUGACCCGUGCAGUGCUGCAGUUAACGCGUUAAGUAUCCCGCCCGGGGAGUACGUUCGCAAGAAUGAAAAUCAAAGGAAUUGACGGGGGCCCGCACAAGCAGUGGAGCAUGUGGUUUAAUUCGAUGCAAAGCGAAGAACCCUACCAGGGCUUGACAUGUUGCGAAUCCUCUUGAAAGAGAGGGGUGCCUUAGAGAACGCGGAUACAGGUGGUGCAUGGAUGUCGUCAUCUCGUGCCGUAAGGUGUUGGGUUAAGUCCCGCAACGAGCGCAACCCUCGUGUUUAGUUGCCACCAUUGAGUUUGGAACCCUGAACAGACUGCCGGUGAUAAGCCGGAGGAAGGUGAGGAUGACGUCAAGUCAUCAUGCCCCUUAUGCCCUGGGCGACACACAUGCUACAAUGGCCGGGAAAAAGGGUCGCGAUCCCACAAGGGUGAGCUAACCCAAAAAACCCGUCCUCAGUUCGGAUUGCAGGCUGCAACUCGCCUGCAUGAAGCCGGAAUCGCUAGUAAUCGUCGGUCAUCCAUACGGCGGUGAAUUCGUUCUAGGGCCUUAUACACACCGCCCGUCACACUAUGGGAGCUGGCCAUGCCCGAAGUCUUUACCUUAACCGCAAGGAGGUGUAUGCCGAAGUAAGGGCUAGUGACUGGAUUGAAGUCGUAACAAGGUAGCCGUACUGGAAGGUGCGGCUG
This 1232-nucleotide ribosomal RNA is filed under the name Papaver somniferum (opium poppy). Its description in RNAcentral is "bacterial SSU rRNA". The stretch from base 225 to 1232 matches the Rfam family "Bacterial small subunit ribosomal RNA". The record is from RNAcentral. Lineage: Eukaryota; Viridiplantae; Streptophyta; Magnoliopsida; Ranunculales; Papaveraceae.